CUGCGGCCAUUAGGGCCGGGCAGAGACUGAUACACGGGCGUGGCACAGGGGCUCUACAGCGCCCCCUGGAAUAUGGAGGGCCAUAUAUCAUACAUACUUGCACGUAGACGUAUGAAACUCGGUACACAUAUAGAUCUCAUCAAGCCAAACAACUUUCGUACUGCAUGUCAUAGGCUCCGCCCAACAGGAAGUGAGCUAUUUAGGGUUUAGUAUUCUUAUUUUUCGUCAAAGUUGUGGGGGCUUUUGGGGCCCUUAACAUGCUCAAAAACUCUUGAAAAUUUGCACACACCUUAGAAUCUGUGGCCAUUAGGAGGCUGCAGAGGCUGAGACCCGGGCGUGGCACAGGGGCUCUACGGCGCCCCCUGGAACACAGUCAGAAAUGUUGAUGUAUAGUUCAAACAUACUUGCACGUAUUCAUAUGAAACUCAGUACACAUAUAGAUCGCAUUGUGCCGAACAACUUUCGUAUUGCAUGUCAUAGGCUCCGCCCAACAGGAAGUCAGCUAUUUAGAGCUAUGUAAAAAGUGCAUGCUCUGGAAUUUGAUAUACUUGUCAUAGGUUUUUUACCCGAUUGCCACCAAACUUGGUCAACAUGAUCUCAAGACAUUGGGGAUGCAAAAUUGCCAGGGGAUUUUUGAUAUCUCGAAUGGUUUGCUCGUGGCGAGGCGUUGAAAUUAUGGCAAGAAAUGAGAAACAGGAAGUGUCUAAUAACAUCCACAUAAAUUUCCCGAUUUUAAUUACACUUCAUCAGUUUGUUCGUUGUAUGAUGCCGAUCGCAUAUAUGUGACUAUUAGGAGUCAAAGUUAUAGCGCCACCAACUGGCAGCAGGAAGUGUGUCAUUUUCAAAAUGCUUUGAAUUCAGCAUCUUCUUUUUACUCAAUUUGCUUCAAACUUCAUCAGAAUAAUGACAAAACACGGCCCAUGUAAAACUGUUGAGGGGAUAUUGAUAUCUAAUAUAGUGUUGCCAUGGCAACAUAUCAAACUGGAAUAUUUUUCUGUAUAAUAUAUUCUGAUUUUGAG
Molecule: long non-coding RNA, 1019 nt
Organism: Cyprinus carpio carpio
Lineage: Eukaryota; Metazoa; Chordata; Actinopteri; Cypriniformes; Cyprinidae
Source: Ensembl